RNAcentral lists this ribosomal RNA (319 nucleotides) under uncultured eukaryote. RNAcentral describes it as "partial 18S ribosomal RNA". It matches the Rfam family "Eukaryotic small subunit ribosomal RNA", at positions 1470 to 1796 of the family's 1831-position model. The record is from RNAcentral.
CCCUUAGAUGUUCUGGGCAGCACGCGCGCUACAAUGGUCUUCGCAAACGGAUGCAUUCUCGAAGGAGAAUGCCAAUCUUGGAAUCUAUGCCUUGGUCGGGACAGUUACUUGCAAUUUUUCGACUCGAACCAGGAAUUCCUUGUAAUCGUGAUUCAUCACAUCACGAUGAAUACGUCCCUGCCCUUUAUACACACCGCCCGUCGCUCCUACCGAUCGAAGAGUUAGGUGAAUUGUUUUGAUCGAUAAGAUUUGACUAUGGUCAACUCUCGUUGUGAAAUUCUGUGAAUCUGACUGUUUAGAGGAAGGAAAAGUCGUAACA